Molecule: ribosomal RNA, 838 nt
Filed under: Streptomyces sp.
Lineage: Bacteria; Bacillati; Actinomycetota; Actinomycetes; Kitasatosporales; Streptomycetaceae
Description: bacterial SSU rRNA
Rfam family: Bacterial small subunit ribosomal RNA
Source: RNAcentral
ACACAUGCAAGUCGAACGAUGAAGCCGCUUCGGUGGUGGAUUAGUGGCGAACGGGUGAGUAACACGUGGGCAAUCUGCCCUUCACUCUGGGACAAGCCCUGGAAACGGGGUCUAAUACCGGAUAACACUCUGUCCCGCAUGGGACGGGGUUAAAAGCUCCGGCGGUGAAGGAUGAGCCCGCGGCCUAUCAGCUUGUUGGUGGGGUAAUGGCCUACCAAGGCGACGACGGGUAGCCGGCCUGAGAGGGCGACCGGCCACACUGGGACUGAGACACGGCCCAGACUCCUACGGGAGGCAGCAGUGGGGAAUAUUGCACAAUGGGCGAAAGCCUGAUGCAGCGACGCCGCGUGAGGGAUGACGGCCUUCGGGUUGUAAACCUCUUUCAGCAGGGAAGAAGCGAAAGUGACGGUACCUGCAGAAGAAGCGCCGGCUAACUACGUGCCAGCAGCCGCGGUAAUACGUAGGGCGCAAGCGUUGUCCGGAAUUAUUGGGCGUAAAGAGCUCGUAGGCGGCUUGUCACGUCGGAUGUGAAAGCCCGGGGCUUAACCCCGGGUCUGCAUUCGAUACGGGCUAGCUAGAGUGUGGUAGGGGAGAUCGGAAUUCCUGGUGUAGCGGUGAAAUGCGCAGAUAUCAGGAGGAACACCGGUGGCGAAGGCGGAUCUCUGGGCCAUUACUGACGCUGAGGAGCGAAAGCGUGGGGAGCGAACAGGAUUAGAUACCCUGGUAGUCCACGCCGUAAACGUUGGGAACUAGGUGUUGGCGACAUUCCACGUCGUCGGUGCCGCAGCUAACGCAUUAAGUUCCCCGCCUGGGGAGUACGGCCGCAAGGCUAAAACUC